CUGCCAGUAGUCAUAUGCUUGUGUUAAAGAUUAAGCCACGCAUGUCUUAGUUCAAGGUAGAUUCAAACCGAAACUGCGGAUGGCUCAAUAAAUCAGUCAUAAUUAAUUUGGUGAUAAAGAUUAAAUGGAUAACCCUGUCAAUUGUAGAGCUAAUACAUGAAUAAUAUAUCUGAUCGGAGAGUCUCUGUGUGAAGGGGCGUGCAAACGUUUCUCCACAUAGGGAAAGGAUGAGAGGAUAGCAUUUGUCAGCUCGAAAUAGUUAACCAAGUCCCAUCACAAUCUUGCGACCCGAGGAAGCAAAAGGAGAAAAAAACCAACAAAUCCAACACGACGGGGGCGCUGAGAGGUGCGGACGCACAGAAGAGACGAAAGAAGACAAAACCCAAAGUAAAAUUUGAAUGCGAAUCGCAGUUAAAGGAGGGCAACCUCCGGCGAUAGACCAAACGAAUGACUGACCUAUCAAGCUGAUGGUAAGGCAGUGGCUUACCAAGCUAACCACGGGUAACGGGGAAUUAGGGUUCGAUUCCAGAGAGGGAGCCUGAGAAACGGCUACCACUUCUAAGGAAGGCAGCAGGCGCGUAAAUUACUCGGUGUCGAUACGGCGAGGUAGUGACGACAAAUACCAAUGCCAUUCGGCCUCACGGUCGUUGGUAAUUGGAUGAGCACAAUGUAAAAUAUGGGCGAGUAACAAUUGGAGGGCAAGUCUGGUGCCAGCAGCCGCGUAAUUCCAGCUCCAAGAGUGUAUACUAAAGCUGUUGCGGUUAAAAAGCUCGUAGUUAAUCUUGGGGGUUUUCGGAGGGUGUGGAGAGGAAGGGCUUUCGGGCCAAUAAUUUCCCCCCUUGAUGGCCAUCGCAAAGAUGACCAAAGAAUUAAAUUGAGAUCAUCAGUGUUUUGUUUUGGGGAAGGGAAGAGGCAACUGGGGGAGUCAAAUCCUUUAGGGGUUUUUUUCUUUUCUUGGGGCAAGGACCUGGCGGUUAAGAUUGUUAAUUCUUAAGCCUCUAUCUGAUUCAGAUUAUUUUGGCCUGUACUUGACUGUCUGGGCUUUUUAAAAAUACUGAAUAAAUUACUUUGAAUAAAUUAAAGUGAUCAAAGCGAAUUUGUAAAAAUUAUGAAUAAAUUAGCAUGGAUAAUAAUAAAAUAAAUCAACUCUUUGGAAACAAUUAAACAUUAUUUGUUGGUUUUUGAAUGGGACGAUCCAUGAAAGACGGACCUCUUGAAUAGAGAGGACGUUAAUUUUAUGACCUAAAAACAUUUCGUGGAUAACAGAAAUAAAGGUCCGAAUUAAAAAACUCAAAGAGUUAAUUUUCCCCCACUUUCUGGGGGAAAACCUAUCGAAUUUAUAAUAGGAACAAAUGGGGUGGUUUAUAUUUUAUAGCGAGGGGUGAAAUCCUAUGACCUAGAAAAGAUAAACAAAAGCGAAAGCAUUCCACAAAAAUGUUUUCAUUAAUCAAGAACGAAAGUUGGGGGAUCGAAGACGAUCAGAUACCGUCGUAGUCUC
This 1498-nucleotide ribosomal RNA is filed under the name Archamoebae sp. CRStensvold-2021a. RNAcentral describes it as "SSU rRNA". It matches the Rfam family "Eukaryotic small subunit ribosomal RNA", at positions 14 to 1027 of the family's 1831-position model. Lineage: Eukaryota; Evosea. The record is from RNAcentral.